UAAAUGCACAGAUACACAUUUAAAAACAUCCCAGUGAUUGUAUUUACAUGUUACUCUCGAUUUCAAUUUGCUCUUGAAAUAUGACUUUGAAUGAUUAAUGCUUGUUUAUAAAUUCAGAAUGUUUAUUGCAAAGUUCCAAAAUUUUGUUUGGAAGUAAAGUUCAUUCCGAUGAUUGACGACGAUUCAAUAAGCAAUUUGAUUGUGGCUGACCGAUUUUAAUACACAACACAACGUUUGCCCAAACUUUUUUUACAACUUCAGUUGUACUGUGUAAAUCAAGCGCAUAACUCGCCUAUGAUGUUGUAGGACAGUUGUGGACUUGAUUUACACAGUAACAAUUUUAGGCAAAAGUUGUAAAUCGGCCUUUAUUUACCUAGCUGAUUACAACUUGCAAAACGCAAUCAUUG
Molecule: non-coding RNA, 407 nt
Organism: Paramuricea clavata
Lineage: Eukaryota; Metazoa; Cnidaria; Anthozoa; Malacalcyonacea; Plexauridae
Source: the annotation of a GenBank genome assembly